This 1715-nucleotide long non-coding RNA is filed under the name Ornithorhynchus anatinus (platypus). RNAcentral describes it as "lncRNA (ENSOANG00000041719.1)". Lineage: Eukaryota; Metazoa; Chordata; Mammalia; Monotremata; Ornithorhynchidae. The record is from RNAcentral.
UUUAAUACCUCAUGCAUAACUUUCAAACCUUUCUGAUCUCUGAUUUCCCUAACCAUUAACAGACUGAGUGAGCAGUCUUCUUCCCCUUCCUUUUUGCUUCAUUUGGAUGCAAAUCAUUGGCCUGGACUCCCCCCGCCCCCCUCAGGUUUUGAAACGUGAGCAGAUUCAGGUAGAAGGAGGUUAUCUGGGACCAAUAUGUGGAAGACUGGAACAGGGUGGUUAUUCGUGUGGAUUUACAACACCCUGGCCAGCAGCUGAACUCAUGCCUUCACUGAUAGCGGAGCUUCUGCCCACUAGAUUGCAGAUUGAAAACCAAGCAAGCAUAUGACGGCAAGAACAUUAAUUUCGUCUUCCAUGGCCUGCCCGAAAAACAAAUAAAUGGAUUUUUGAGCAAAUUAAGCCAAAGCGGUCUUUGGAAGGCCAAGUGACUCGACUUAGGUUAGCAUAUUUUGGACACAAAAUCAGGAGGACUAGUUCUCCACCUGCCACCUUCCUGCUAUGUGAUCUUAGGCGAGUCAUUUAACUUCUCUGUGCCUCAUUUUCCUCAGAUGAUAAUGGGGAUUUAAUACCUGUAAUUUGCCGGUGAGCCCCAUGGGGAUCAAGGCCUAUAUCUGGCCUGAUUAACCGAUUAACUGGGGAAGAUGAACGUUAAUUUAUAUUCCCCAUCUGAAAAAUGGGAAUUCAAUAGCUGUUCUCUCUCCUACUCAGACUGUAAGGUCCAUGUGGGACAGGGAUUGCGUCUGAGCAGUUUAUCUAAUCUGAGAAGACACUAAUGCUAGGAAAAGUCCAGGGAAAACACGGAUGAGCAGACCGGCAACCAGAUGGAUAGAGACCGUAACACCGGUAACGGAAGGACCGUUAGCAAGAUUUCGGAUUCUGGCAGAAGACAGGACGUUCUGGAGAAAAUAGAUCCGUAGAAUCGCCGUGAAUCGGAAACGACUCGACAGCACUUGAUAAUAAUAAUAAUUCCUCUUUUCUGGGCCUAAGCUCUUUUACAAUGACAUCUAGUGGCUAAGUAAAUAUUAUGUCCCAUCAAUGGGGCCAUCAGGUCCAAACGUUAGCACUGCGCUGGACUGUUCUGUCGGUCUAGGAACGGCUGCGAUGGAUUGUCUCAGGCGGUGACGGAGAAUUCACUCCAUGCCUCGGAGGUGGGGUGUCCUGGGAGAGAUGUGUCCAUGGCGUCGCUCUGGGUCGGAGAUGACUCGACGGCAUAAGAGAAGACAAGAAGGAUAGGAAUAAUAAUGCUAACGACAUUUAAGCACUUACUGUGUGUCAAGCACUGUUCUAAGUGCUGGGGUAGAUAGAAAUUAAUCGGGUAGGACGGAGUCCCUGUCCCACUGGGGGCUCACUGUCUAAAUAGGCGGGAGAACAGAUAUUGAAUCCCUAAAGUCGAGGAAACUGAGGCAAAGAGUAGUUAAGUGACUAGGCCAAUGUCAGAGAACAAGCAAGUGGCAGAGCCAGGAUUAAAAAUGAGGUGCUCUGACUUCUAGACCCCUGUUUUUUCCACUAAACCAUGCUACCACCUAUGCAUUCCCUCGCAGGAUUUAAUACUCGUACUCGUCACAUGGUAAGUGCUAAAUAAAUUCUCCCUCCACCAAGAGAUAUUUAAUAAUAAUAAUAAUGUUGGUAUUUGUAAAGUGCUUACUAUGUGUAGAGCACUGUUCUAAGCUCUGGGGUAGGUACAGGGUAAUCUGGUCGUCCCACGUGAGGCUCAC